CCUGCCCUAGCAGGACAGAGGAAGGAGGCGACAUGGGAGCAAGGUUGAGUAAUGAUGGAGAAAGUUGCAGUUGAUGGGAAAAAAUACAUCUUCAUAACAGGGCACUGCUGUUGUUGAUGACGAUGAACUGAGACCUCCCAUUCUUCAGAUAGAAGAAAUGAGACAAAAGGUGGAGAACUCCACGACAAAAAAAUCGAUUUCCUGGGCAAGAAUGGCAAGGCAAUCAAUGGUAAUGGAUGACUCAAGGCUCACUCCCGAACACCCCAAGUCACAGCCAUUCAGAAGCCUCACUGGAGCAGACAUCAACUCAAGAUGGCUGGAAGGAAGCUGUCCUUCGCUCUGCUCCCAACUGCUCUGGCUCCUUCAUCCAAGGCUGAAUCCAGGAACUGGGGAUUUGCAAACAUUUUCAUUUGUAAGAAGAGGGACAAUGAAACCAACAAGAGAGUAGACACCAAAAACAGUGGGGUUCAUUUCCACUGGCCAGCUGGGUAGUGUGGCCUAAUCUAGACCUUAGUUUACCCAGAUGGCCAUCAGUCUUGAUGAUCCCCCCUCCCCAUGAAAAUUAUCCUGAUUCUCGAUUAAUUAAUGAGUGCACCACAAGGACUUGGGACCUGUAGAUGAAAACAGUUGUGUAAGUGCAGUUAUUACUGGAGCUCAGUGAACUGUUUGUCUCUCAGUUAGAAUUAUUUUUGAGAAUCGCACUGGGAGAAAAAGCCAAUAAGAAGGGAUAAGACACAGCUGCAGCAGGAACCCCUAAGAUGCUUCCACUUCUGCUCCAGCCGAGUCGCUUCAAACCUUGACAUUUGAAUAUCCUUUUAGCAUUUGCUUCCCUCUAUGGUAUAAACAGAAUAUGUGAUGAGCACCUGUGGGAUAGGGAAUGGAUCUCAUAGGGCGACGAGGAAGAGGAAAGAGAACAAAAGAGGCUUUUUGCUCCUUACUCCAAGUUUGGUGUGGCUUUCUAGACAAACACAGAAUUAAUAGCACACAGGAUGUUGCAUACUGGGGUCUAGGCACAAAGCGCUUGUUUAAAAAGGAUUUCCCACGUGACAAUAGUCGCAUAGCUAGAACUGAAAACACCGUAAAUGUACCUGGGACCAUAGGUGUGAUUUCUGGGUGCCAUUCCAAAGAAAAGUAGGCAGUGGACUGGUCUGUUUCACCUGUGGCUGGAGAUCAAUUUCACAUGCUUGUCCCUGGAAAUUCUUAUCAGUUGUUUUGUUUGGGAUUCUCCAUGUUGACCCAAGCCUCUGCUUUGACAAUUUUUCUGCUUUUCAUCUUUCAAAAUCCUCCUCAAAAUGGUUUCUUCAGGGAAGAUUUCCCUCAAGCUCACCCUGACCAAAACAUCACCCAGAAUGGAGAAAGGGGGUGUGGCAGUAACCUUGUCAUGUAGAUGCCUCCUGGGGCUCUCAGUUGCUGAAAACCUUAUUUUGAUGAUGGGGCUGCCUGUGUCUUAUAUUCUGGUACUUCUCAAUGACUGUCAAAGGCCAUAAAAUAAAUGUCAAAUUCAACCAA
Long non-coding RNA from Ornithorhynchus anatinus (platypus), 1509 nucleotides. RefSeq lists it as uncharacterized. Lineage: Eukaryota; Metazoa; Chordata; Mammalia; Monotremata; Ornithorhynchidae. The record is from RefSeq and is a predicted model, not a curated record. The transcript is spliced from 2 exons.